UACCCUGUAGAUCCGGACUUGUGGUCACUUCAUCACACAAAUCCGAUUUACAGGAUAGG
RNAcentral lists this microRNA precursor (59 nucleotides) under Branchiostoma floridae (Florida lancelet). RNAcentral's name for it is "Bfl-Mir-10-P9_pre stem-loop". Lineage: Eukaryota; Metazoa; Chordata; Leptocardii; Amphioxiformes; Branchiostomatidae. The record is from RNAcentral.